Molecule: ribosomal RNA, 400 nt
Filed under: uncultured bacterium
Lineage: Bacteria
Description: bacterial SSU rRNA
Rfam family: Bacterial small subunit ribosomal RNA
Source: RNAcentral
CGGGAAUUUUGGGCAAUGGGCGAAAGCCUGACCCAGCAACGCCGCGUGAGGGAUGAAGUAUUUCGGUAUGUAAACCUCGAAAGAAUGGGAAGAAUAAAUGACGGUACCAUUUAUAAGCUCCGGCUAACUACGUGCCAGCAGCCGCGGUAAUACGUAGGGAGCAAGCGUUGUUCGGAUUUACUGGGCGUAAAGGGCGCGUAGACGGCGCGGUAAGUCACUUGUGAAAUCUCUGAGCUUAACUCAGAACGGCCAAGUGAUACUGCUGUGCUAGAGUGCGGAAGAGGCAACCGGAAUUCUUGGUGUAGCGGUGAAAUGCGUAGAUAUCAAGAGGAACACCUGAGGCGAAGGCGGGUUGCUGGGCCGACACUGACGCUGAUGCGCGAAAGCCAGGGGAGCAAAC